This 577-nucleotide ribosomal RNA is filed under the name uncultured bacterium. RNAcentral describes it as "partial 16S ribosomal RNA". It matches the Rfam family "Bacterial small subunit ribosomal RNA", at positions 355 to 918 of the family's 1533-position model. The record is from RNAcentral.
UGGGGAAUUUUGGACAAUGGGCGAAAGCCUGAUCCAGCAAUGCCGCGUGUGUGAAGAAGGCCUUCGGGUUGUAAAGCACUUUUGUCCGGAAAGAAAUCCUCUGGGUUAAUACCUCGGGGGAUGACGGUACCGGAAGAAUAAGCACCGGCUAACUACGUGCCAGCAGCCGCGGUAAUACGUAGGGUGCAAGCGUUAAUCGGAAUUACUGGGCGUAAAGCGUGCGCAGGCGGUUUUGUAAGACGGAUGUGAAAUCCCCGGGCUUAACCUGGGAACUGCAUUCGUGACUGCAAGGCUAGAGUAUGGCAGAGGGGGGUAGAAUUCCACGUGUAGCAGUGAAAUGCGUAGAGAUGUGGAGGAAUACCGAUGGCGAAGGCAGCCCCCUGGGCCAAUACUGACGCUCAUGCACGAAAAGCGUGGGGGAGCAAAACAGGAUUAGAUAACCCCUGGUAGUCCACGCCCUAAAACGAUGUCAACUAGUUGUUGGGGAUUCAUUUCCUUAGUAACGUAGCAACGCGUGAAGUUGACCGCCUGGGGGAGUACGGUCGCAAAGAUUAAAAACUCAAAUGAAUUGACGGGG